CUUACUCCCCGUGUUGCGUCUUGCCCUCCACGACUUAUUAGACUACCCUAGGGUACGUACCNCGACCGUAAACGNGUAGGAAUCGACAGUAGAUAGUACGGGAGAACCACCGAGGUGGACGAAGGCGGUCUUUCGUGGUCUAGUAACUGACGCUGGACGGCGACGAAGUCGGUGGGGACGACAAACGAGGUAUUAGACCUACCGUGGUACGUCCACCGUACCGUAAACGAGUGAGUGACUAGUGGUUAGGGGUUUCCCNCCCCUUAGUGCUGCAGCUAACGCAUUAAGCACUCCGCCGUGGGGAGUACGGUCGCAAGGCUAGAACUCAAAGGAUUGACGGGACCCGCACAAGCGGUGGAGCAUGUGUCGACGCGGCCG
RNAcentral lists this ribosomal RNA (378 nucleotides) under uncultured Caryophanaceae bacterium. RNAcentral's name for it is "uncultured Planococcaceae bacterium partial 16S ribosomal RNA". It matches the Rfam family "Bacterial small subunit ribosomal RNA", at positions 608 to 957 of the family's 1533-position model. The record is from RNAcentral. Lineage: Bacteria; Bacillati; Bacillota; Bacilli; Caryophanales; Caryophanaceae.